Molecule: ribosomal RNA, 497 nt
Filed under: uncultured bacterium
Lineage: Bacteria
Description: partial 16S ribosomal RNA
Rfam family: Bacterial small subunit ribosomal RNA
Source: RNAcentral
GAUGAACGCUGGCGGCGUGCCUAAUACAUGCAAGUCGAGCGAACAGACGAGGAGCUUGCUCCUCUGACGUUAGCGGCGGACGGGUGAGUAACACGUGGAUAACCUACCUAUAAGACUGGGAUAACUUCGGGAAACCGGAGCUAAUACCGGAUAAUAUAUUGAACCGCAUGGUUCAAUAGUGAAAGACGGUUUUGCUGUCACUUAUAGAUGGAUCCGCGCCGCAUUAGCUAGUUGGUAAGGUAACGGCUUACCAAGGCAACGAUGCGUAGCCGACCUGAGAGGGUGAUCGGCCACACUGGAACUGAGACACGGUCCAGACUCCUACGGGAGGCAGCAGUAGGGAAUCUUCCGCAAUGGGUGAAAGCCUGACGGAGCAACGCCGCGUGAGUGAUGAAGGUCUUCGGAUCGUAAAACUCUGCUAUUAGGGAAGAACAAAUGUGUAAGUAACUAUGCACGUCUUGACGGUACCUAAUCAGAAAGCCACGGCUAACUACGUG